RNAcentral lists this ribosomal RNA (291 nucleotides) under uncultured bacterium. RNAcentral describes it as "partial 16S ribosomal RNA". It matches the Rfam family "Bacterial small subunit ribosomal RNA", at positions 773 to 1060 of the family's 1533-position model. The record is from RNAcentral.
GUGGAUUAGAUACCCGGGUAGUCCACGCGGUAAACGAUGGGUGCUAGGUGUCUCGGGUAUUGACCCCUGAGGUGCCGUAGCUAACGCGUUAAGCACCCCGCCUGGGAAGUACGGUCGCAAGACUAAAACUCAAAGGAAUUGACGGGGGCCCGCACAAGCGGUGGAGCAUGUGGUUUAAUUCGACGCAACGCGCAGAACCUUACCCGGGCUAGAAAAAUGCGGAAGCCUUUGGAAACAGAGGUGUGCUCGUAAGAGAGCCGUAGUCCAGGUGCUGCAUGGCUGUCGUCAACU